Molecule: ribosomal RNA, 251 nt
Filed under: Anaerocolumna aminovalerica
Lineage: Bacteria; Bacillati; Bacillota; Clostridia; Lachnospirales; Lachnospiraceae
Description: 23S rRNA. Bacterial LSU
Rfam family: Bacterial large subunit ribosomal RNA
Source: RNAcentral
CCUUAGUACGAGAGGACCGGGUUGGACGAACCGCUGGUGUAUCGGUUGUCAUACCAAUGGCAUGGCCGAGUAGCCAAGUUUGGAAGGGAUAAACGCUGAAGGCAUCUAAGCGUGAAGCCCCCCUCAAGAUGAGAUAUCCCAUAGCAUAAGCUAGUAAGACCCCUCGAAGACGACGAGGUAGAUAGGUUAGAGGUGGAAGUGCAGUAAUGCAUGCAGCUGACUAAUACUAAUAGGUCGAGGGCUUGACCUAA